Molecule: ribosomal RNA, 257 nt
Filed under: uncultured Glomus
Lineage: Eukaryota; Fungi; Glomeromycota; Glomeromycetes; Glomerales; Glomeraceae
Description: partial 18S ribosomal RNA
Rfam family: Eukaryotic small subunit ribosomal RNA
Source: RNAcentral
AAGCUCGUAGUUGAAUUUCGGGAUCAGACUGUCGGUCGUGCCUCGGUACGCACUGGCAUUAUUGGUUCCUACCUUCUGAAGAACCGCGGUGUCAUUAAUUUGGUGUCGCGGGGAAUCAUGACUGUUACUUUGAAAAAAUUAGAGUGUUUAAAGCAGGCUUACGCUUGAAUACAUUAGCAUGGAAUAAUGAAAUAGGACGUUUGAUUCUAUUUUGUUGGUUUCUAGGAUCGACGUAAUGAUUAAUAGGGAUAGUUGGG